GAAAUUACUACGCCAAUGAACUUACUAGAUUGAUUUGCUUUUGAAGCAAUUUAAAACUUCCGCAGUCUGUGUUUUAUCAGACCUAAAGAUACUCGGCUUCGCCUCGUAUCUUUAUAUCUGAUAAAACACUAUGCAAAAUGUCACCACAUGCACUCCUUCAAGCUUCGUGCUAACCGCGCAGACAAAGUGAUAGAAAGGGAUUGGACCUGACCGUCUGAUUAUAGCUCUUCAAUUUCCGCCAUCUUGUUUUCACUUUUUGGACUUGCUCCAGUUAUAUAUUGAGAUCAUUGGGGUUAUCUCAUUUAUUUUGUAUCCAUGAAAGAGUAUCCAUGAAUCUAUAUAUUAAUUCGCAUGCAUGUAUUUAUUUAAAAGGCCAUGGGC
Molecule: non-coding RNA, 381 nt
Organism: Paramuricea clavata
Lineage: Eukaryota; Metazoa; Cnidaria; Anthozoa; Malacalcyonacea; Plexauridae
Source: the annotation of a GenBank genome assembly